UUGAACGCUGGCGGCAUGCCUUACACAUGCAAGUCGAACGGUAACAGGUCUUCGGAUGCUGACGAGUGGCGAACGGGUGAGUAAUGCAUCGGAACGUGCCUAUUUGUGGGGGAUAACGUAGCGAAAGUUACGCUAAUACCGCAUACGCCCUGAGGGGGAAAGCGGGGGAUUCGUAAGAACCUCGCGCAAUUAGAGCGGCCGAUGUCGGAUUAGCUAGUUGGUGGGGUAAAGGCUCACCAAGGCGACGAUCCGUAGCGGGUCUGAGAGGAUGAUCCGCCACACUGGGACUGAGACACGGCCCAGACUCCUACGGGAGGCAGCAGUGGGGAAUUUUGGACAAUGGGCGAAAGCCUGAUCCAGCCAUGCCGCGUGAGUGAAGAAGGCCUUCGGGUUGUAAAGCUCUUUCAGCCGGAAAGAAAUCGCGCAGGCUAAUACUCUGCGUGGAUGACGGUACCGGAAGAAGAAGCACCGGCUAACUACGU
Molecule: ribosomal RNA, 482 nt
Filed under: uncultured bacterium
Lineage: Bacteria
Description: bacterial SSU rRNA
Rfam family: Bacterial small subunit ribosomal RNA
Source: RNAcentral